UGUACCCGCUACUCUUCUUAGAACCACACUCUAAAAGCUCUUUCUUUUAGCCUCUAUUGGUUUUUCUUAACCAUAAUGGAGGCGUCACCGUGUUUGUUUCGAAGUUGACGCCCAUUCGGAGUUGCGUAAUAAAGACCGAAAAUCAUAAACCUUCUUGACGACGCCCCGUUCAAUGCCCACAAAAAGGUCAAUGGUCUCCCUUUAUCCUUUUAUCUGUUGUAAGUAAUAUUUGAGUUCUUUUAUAAAAUAAUAAGUGUUAGUUCUCUUUUCUGAUCUUUGAUUAGAAACUAUGAAAUAAGGAUUUAUCAUGCUUUCAUUCAAUGUUUCAUGUUAUUUGUGAACUAGUGAACGCGGUUUAAGGUUUCUUUAUAAUAUUAUUCUGGAUUAAGUGAUCAGAUUAUGUGAAGCAUUGUAUGCUAUAGAAUCUUAUUUUUUCUAAAAUGUAAGUUGUUAACCAGAAGUCAUGACUUAUGGAUAUGUUGCCAUAGAAAGUAUGGUAAUAAAGUUAUGAAAUCAUCUCUGUUUAAAAUUUGGUAGAAUCUGCAAUUUAAAGUUUACUAGGAAUCAUGAUUUCGUUACUUGGUCAUUAUCCGUUAGCAUAGUGAUACUUCAGUUUGAGACAAUCUGUUGAUGACAAAGAAUCUGCAUUAUUCAUUAAAAGAUCUAUUUGUGCUCCUUCCUGUAAUGAAAUCAAGUUCAUAAACAAAAUAGAAACCUACUAGUAUAACUUAAGAAAGAUUACUGUUUUUUUAUUAUAACAUGGUUCAUACAUCCCUAACAACUAGUUAAAGUGAAGUGUGAGUGCAGAGUUAUGUGUUAAACACCCUUUUCAGGAAUUGAUAUCAAUUCUGCCUGCAAUUUAAGGAUCAUAUAAUUGUUACAUAGUAAGUCAGUGAUCAUGAUAGCAUGUAUAUAUGAUAUCUUAAGUAGUAAUGGUAAAAGUGAAAUCUGUUAGCAUGUGUUUGUUGAACAAAGUAUGCUUUUUGCUGCUGUCAUUUCUUAUGUACCUUGAAGAAUCAAGUUUAACUUUUGCUAAUGGCCUUAAGGAAGUGUAAAUCCCAAUUUGUUUGUUAGGCUGAAUCUCUUACUUUAGGAGGUAACUUGAAUACAUAAUGUAAUUGUUUAACCUUAAUAUAAGAACAUCACUUGAGAAACCUUUCAAAUUGGUAAAAGUUUAUGUGCCUUAUUAGCAUGAUAUGCAUAAGUACUGGUUUUUUAGCAUAAGUUUGUGAUUUAUGUACUCUUUCUGUAACUUUAGUUUUUCUUCUUUUAUCUUCCUUACGUGUUUAAUAUAUUCAGAUCCUCUUUCUAAUCCUUUCUUUUCUUUCUUUAUUUUGCAUGAAAACACCGGAGCCGCAAAGAGUUCCAGUAUGGGACUCGACGCUGCUGCCUAGACACAAAGCACGCACACCCCUUCAUUUUCUCUUCUAUUCCUGAACUUAUUUAGGCUCUCGAAAAAAGAGAGGAAAAGUAGAAGAGAUGACCAAACAUUGGCUGUCUAAUGUUACUUUCCUGUGUUUAUUAGCUAACUGUUUUAUGCGAUCUAUUUGCUUGCUUGGUUGCUCGAACUCAUUUGAAUUAAAUUAGUUUGUUUGAUCACGUAGUAUUUGGCAUCUCGAUGUGCAAACUUUAACACCAAUAAUAGCUUUUCAUUUAGUAGUCCGGGCUAAUAGACCUAACUAAUUUAAG
This 1689-nucleotide long non-coding RNA is filed under the name Nicotiana tabacum (common tobacco). RNAcentral's name for it is "long non-coding RNA (NTAB_LNC012892)". Lineage: Eukaryota; Viridiplantae; Streptophyta; Magnoliopsida; Solanales; Solanaceae. The record is from RNAcentral.